UUUUCAAAUUUAGCCGACCGCCCUGCGUAUCCGGCUCUCUUUUUUGGCUGGCGUUCAGCACGUUCGGUGCAUUAAAUUGCACAUUAUAAAAAUUCAUACUGGGAAUGAACGCAACAAAACUUCACCACUUUAGUAGAAAAAAAUAAAGAAAGUGGUGAUAUGCGUGAAUCCUUACAUCCGGUCGUAGGCGGAAUAUAAAAUUGUGGAGCCAAGUAAGUUUCUUCUUUUUUAUCACCAUCAGUCAGUCCACGUGACCAAACAAAAUUUCUAGUGUCUCAUUUUUUUCCUUCCGGAUAAAGACGAAUCAAAAAAAUUACCUGAUUUAUAUUCAUUCUUGGGAGUCUCAUGCGUAAGUAUGUGUGUGUGCAGGCAAGCUGCAUCCAUUGAAACAUUUUAUUCACACACACAUGCAUGAAGUAGUUGCAGUCGUGGAAACGUACAUGAAGGGUGCGCAACGCCGUUAAUUUACCUACACCGGCCAUUCAUGCUUUCGUAGAGUUAUAGAUCCCUAUGUGACUUUGCAGUGUAUCGUUGCGGCUCAUUCACUUAAUUCAAUUCACAAAAUUUUCCAAUCGGACAAAUAAAUGACAGAGAUUUGGUGGAUUAACCCACAAUCGUACAAAUAAUCCAUGAGUGGGACUCGUGAAUAUCGUUGGAACAAAUGGAAAACGCAAAUCGUGGAAACAAAUAUUUGUUUACCUUUCUUACAAUGGUAACUUCGGUAGAUCCCUAAUCGUUUGGUUGAAUUUUUUAAGCGCUCUUACAUUUUCGUGAAACUUUUUAAAUCAUUUUUGAAAAUUAACUUGUCCCAGCAGGUAUUCCAUCAGAUGUCACCCACUCUGUUGAUACCUGCAACAAAUUCAAUAGCACCAAUGGAACAAGGAAGAACUUUAGCACAUAAUCAGCAGCCAGUUUCAACCAAUGGCUUAAACAAAAACAACAAUUAUGGCAAACGUCUAAGGUUAGAAGACUCUACACCACCAACUGAUGUUGACAUAUCGGGGUUCAAAUAUGAUCCUAAUAACCAGAACAGGUAUGCAAAGUUUGCAGAUCUGGAAUUUGAAUAUAUUCAACAAGCACCGCAAACCAAUAACAUCGAUCCGGAAAAGUCACCAAAAAAAGGAAAGACGUCUUUUUACCCACCAAUAUUUUUAUAUAAUAUUAAUGUCCUACUCCUAAUUAAACAAUUAGAAGAAAGAUCGCCACCAAUUAAUUUCAAAAUCAAAAAUGUUGGUACAAAUAAAUGUAAAUUAUAUCUAUGUGAUCCCACAGCCAACACUACAAUGCUAGAUACUCUUCGUGAAAAGUCUGUCCACGCGUACUCGUUUACACCGAAAGAAUUAAAGCAGGUGUCAUUUAUAUUAAGGGGACUUUGUCAAGGCGUUGAAGCUGAAUACGUCAAAAUGCCUUGGAUGAGGUAUUGCCUGAAGUUAUUUCCAAGGUAUCAAAAUUCAAAACUUCUAGAUCAAUAAAAAAUAAUUUGGAUACAGGUCU
Musca domestica (house fly) is the source of this 1494-nucleotide long non-coding RNA. RefSeq lists it as uncharacterized. The record is from RefSeq and is a predicted model, not a curated record. NCBI's taxonomy places the organism in Eukaryota, Metazoa, Arthropoda, Insecta, Diptera, Muscidae. The transcript is spliced from 3 exons.